AGUGAACGCUGGCGGCGUGCUUAACACAUGCAAGUCGAACGAGAACGGAAUAUAGCUUGCUAUAUUUGUCAGCUAAGUGGCGCACGGGUGAGUAAUGUAUAGAUAACCUGCCCUUAAGAAAGGAAUAACAGUUGGAAACGACUGCUAAUGCCCUAUAUGCCUUUAAUACAUAAGUAUGCAAGGGAAACGCUUUAGUGCUUAAGGAUGGGUCUGUAUGGUAUCAGCUUGUUGGUGAGGUAAUGGCUCACCAAGGCUAUGACGCCUAACUGGUUUGAGGGGAUGAUCAGUCACACUGGAACUGAGACACGGUCCAGACUCCUACGGGAUGCAGCAGUGGGGAAUAUUGCACAAUGGACGAAAGUCUGAUGCAGCAACGCCGCGUGGAGGAUGACACAUUUCGGUGCGUAAACUCCUUUUAUAUAGGAAGAUAAUGACGGUACUAUAUGAAUAAGCACCGGCUAACUCCGUGCCAGCAGCCGCCGUAA
This 485-nucleotide ribosomal RNA is filed under the name uncultured bacterium. RNAcentral's name for it is "partial 16S ribosomal RNA". It matches the Rfam family "Bacterial small subunit ribosomal RNA", at positions 29 to 523 of the family's 1533-position model. The record is from RNAcentral.